GAAGAAGUGAAUUAAGGGCAUUUGGUGGAUGCCUUGGCAUGCACAGGCGAAGAAGGACGUGAUACGCUGCGAUAAGCCGUGGGGAGCUGCGAAUAAGCUUUGAUCCAUGGAUUUCCGAAUGGGGGAACCCACCUUAAAUGCUUGGAGAAUCUAAGUUGUGCUUCGGUACGGCUUAGGUUUCCAAGCAUUAUGAUAAGGUAUCUGCAUCUGAAUACAUAGGGUGUAAGAAGCGAACUCAGGGAACUGAAACAUCUAAGUACCUGAAGGAAAGGAAAGGUGAAAAGCACCCCGACGAGGGGAGUGAAAUAGAACCUGAAACCGGAUGCCUACAAGCAGUCGGAGCUCGAAAGAGUGACGGCGUACCUUUUGUAUAAUGGGUCAACGACUUAGUGUAGCAAGCAAGCUUAAGCCGGUAGGUGUAGGCGUAGCGAAAGCGAGUCUGAAUAGGGCGUUUAGUUUGUUGCAUUAGACCCGAAACCGAGUGAUCUAGCCAUGAGCAGGCUGAAGGUUGGGUAACACCAACUGGAGGGCCGAACCCAUAUCUGUUGCAAUAGAUUGGGAUGACUUGUGGCUAGGGGUGAAAGGCCAAUCAAACUCGGAAAUAGCUGGUUCUCCGCGAAAACUAUUUAGGUAGUGCGUCGAUCGAAUACCCUCGGGGGUAGAGCACUGGAUGGGCUAUGGGGACUCACCGUCUUACUGAUCCUAACCAAACUCCGAAUACCGAGGAGUACUAAUCGGCAGACACACGGCGGGUGCUAACGUCCGUCGUGAAGAGGGCAACAACCCUGACCUCCAGCUAAGGUCCCCAAGUCAUGGCUAAGUGGGAAAGGAUGUGAGGAUCCCAAAACAACCAGGAUGUUGGCUUAGAAGCAGCCAUCAUUUAAAGAAAGCGUAACAGCUCACUGGUCUAAAUAAGGGUCUUUGCGCCGAAAAUGUAACGGGGCUAAAGCCAUGCACCGAAGCUGAGGAUAAGACAGUCGUAGUGGCUGUUUUGUGGUAGCGGAGCGUUCCGUAAGUCUGUGAAGGGGGACCCGUGAGGGCCCCUGGAGAUAUCGGAAGUGCGAAUGUUGACAUGAGUAACGAUAAAGGGAGUGAGAGACUCCCUCGCCGAAAGACCAAGGGUUCCUGCUUAAAGUUAAUCUGAGCAGGGUUAGCCGGCCCCUAAGACGAGGCGGACACGCGUAGUCGAUGGGAACCACGUUAAUAUUCGUGGGCCUGGUGGUAGUGACGGAUCUCGUGUGUUGUACAUUCUUAUUGGAUUGAAUGUGCGGCGAAGAGGUUCCAGGAAAUAGCUCCACCGUAUAGACCGUACCCGAAACCGACACAGGUGGUCAGGUAGAGUAUACCAAGGCGCUUGAGAGAACUAUGUUGAAGGAACUCGGCAAAUUGCACGCGUAACUUCGGAAGAAGCGUGACCCCAUGUUAGGCAACUAGUAUGGGGUGGCACAGACCAGGGGGUAGCGACUGUUUAUCAAAAACACAGGGCUCUGCGAAGUAGCAAUACGACGUAUAGGGUCUGACGCCUGCCCGGUGCUGGAAGGUUAAAGGGAGGGGUGCAAGCUCUGAACUGAAGCCCCAGUAAACGGCGGCCGUAACUAUAACGGUCCUAAGGUAGCGAAAUUCCUUGUCGGGUAAGUUCCGACCUGCACGAAUGGCGUAACGACUUCCCCGCUGUCUCCAACAUAGACUCAGUGAAAUUGAAUUCCCCGUGAAGAUGCGGGGUUCCUGCGGUCAGACGGAAAGACCCCGUGCACCUUUACUAUAGCUUUACACUGGCAUUCGCCAAGGCAUGUGUAGGAUAGGUGGUAGGCUUUGAAGCGGGGACGCCAGUUCUCGUGGAGCCAUCCUUGAAAUACCACCCUUAUCUUCGUGGAUGUCUAACCGCGGUCCGUUAUCCGGAUCCGGGACAGUGUAUGGUGGGUAGUUUGACUGGGGCGGUCGCCUCCGAAAGAGUAACGGAGGCGCGCGAUGGUGGGCUCAGACCGGUCGGAAAUCGGUCGUCGAGUGCAAUGGCAUAAGCCCGCCUGACUGCGAGACUGACAAGUCGAGCAGAGACGAAAGUCGGUCAUAGUGAUCCGGUGGUCCCGUGUGGAAGGGCCAUCGCUCAACGGAUAAAAGGUACGCCGGGGAUAACAGGCUGAUGACCCCCAAGAGUCCAUAUCGACGGGGUUGUUUGGCACCUCGAUGUCGACUCAUCGCAUCCUGGGGCUGGAGCAGGUCCCAAGGGUAUGGCUGUUCGCCAUUUAAAGCGGUACGUGAGUUGGGUUCAGAACGUCGUGAGACAGUUCGGUCCCUAUCUGCCGUGGGUGUAGGAAUAUUGCAGGAUCUGUCCCUAGUACGAGAGGACCGGGAUGGACGUAUCUCUGGUGGAUCUGUUGUCCUGCCAAGGGCAUAGCAGAGUAGCUAUAUACGGAAUGGAUAACCGCUGAAGGCAUCUAAGCGGGAAACCAACCUGAAAACGAGUGUUCCCUAUCAGAGCCGUGGAAGACGACCACGUUGAUAGGACGGGUGUGGAAGUGCAGCAAUGCAUGAAGCUUACCGUUACUAAUAGCUCGAUCGACUUCUUCGU
This is a non-coding RNA of Agrobacterium sp. DSM 25559, 2569 nucleotides long. Lineage: Bacteria; Pseudomonadati; Pseudomonadota; Alphaproteobacteria; Hyphomicrobiales; Rhizobiaceae. The record is from Rfam.